GGAAACCACCACACAUUUCCUUAAAUUCAGGGUCCAGCUCACAUGGGAAAUGCUCUCUGAGAGUCAUGGACCUCCUGUGCAAGAACAAGAAGCACCUGUGGUUCUUCCUCCUCCUGGUGGCAGUUCCCAGAUGGGUCCUGUCCCAGGUGCAGCUGCAGGAGUCGGGCCCAGGACUGGUGAAGCCUUCGGAGACCCUGUCCCUCACCUGCACUGUCUCUGGUGGCUCCCUCAGCGGUUACUACUGGGGCUGGAUCCGCCAGCCCCCAGGGAAGGGGCUGGAGUGGAUUGGGCAUAUCUAUGGUAGUGGUGGGAGCACCUACUACAACCCCUCCCUCAAGAGUCGAGUCACCAUUUCAACAGACACGUCCAAGAACCAGUUCUCCCUGAAGCUGAGCUCUGUGACCGCCGCAGACACGGCCGUGUAUUACUGUGCGAGCGACACAGUGAGGGGAGAGGAGAAUCCAUGUGGAGACGUAGUGCACUAGAAGGUUGCCCUGUGC
This is a non-coding RNA of Rhinopithecus roxellana (golden snub-nosed monkey), 500 nucleotides long. Lineage: Eukaryota; Metazoa; Chordata; Mammalia; Primates; Cercopithecidae. The record is from the annotation of a RefSeq genome assembly.